This 935-nucleotide long non-coding RNA is filed under the name Numida meleagris (helmeted guineafowl). Its description in RNAcentral is "lncRNA (ENSNMEG00000008520.1)". The record is from RNAcentral. Lineage: Eukaryota; Metazoa; Chordata; Aves; Galliformes; Numididae.
CAUGGGAAGCCAGUUGCGCCACAUAUUUUUCUGUUGAGCUAAGAUUAUACUUUUAUUUUAAUUUUGAUGGUAAUUGAAUUGUUCUACCUCACAGGAAAAGAGGCAUUUCUGUAUAAGUAUAGAGGGAUUCUUCACCACAAGUUAGAACUGCAAUAACAUCCUCACACUCAGCAUUGCCCAGCUGUUAUAUGCACUUCUAGAAAGAAUGAGAAAAACUGGCAGCAGAGACAAACAAUAUGGAAGCUUUCCUCUUUCUAAACUUUUUAUGAUCUGGAUGAAUUCUGGAACUGAGACCUGUGGCAUUCUGCUGAGUCAGCAAGCUGUGAAUCACCUACCGGGCAUCUGACAUGUACUCCAGGACUUCAGGGAUUUAAGACAAAUUAGACUCAGUUAUUAGAUUCUCAUCUUAGAGUCUGUGUUUGUUUAUAGGCUACUUAGCUACUUUAAGUAGAGAUUUACAAACUGAAAAUUAUUUUGUAUGUAUAUAAAACACAAAUUUACUAAAAUAGACUGGCUAAUGAAGUUAACUCCUGGAAUUACUCUAACUACUGAACAGCUAAGUCUCCUUAAUUGUGGUAAUGAGACACUUGAUGAGAGCCAGAGCACUUCUUGAGGCAUAGGCUGGCCUUUUAAUAUCAUGGGUACACCUGCUGGAAUGAUGUGGUGUUGAAGCACAAAUAGACUCUCAAUAUAUUUUCUAUUUGCCUAUGCUUUCCUUCACACAUAAUUUCUAUGUCAUGACCAGAAUGCUUAGGACUUUGGCUCUGUGAGGAUGUUCGUUGAUGAGUUUGUAAAUAGUAACAUAUGCACAUUCUCUUAAUUUCAAUGUUUUAUAUUUAAAGACUGCAAAGAAGUAAAGAUUUCGUUCUGAGAUUUAAUAUUUUUAAAUUAUUGUUUAUUAUAAAAAUAUUAUUCUCUGAAUGAGCAAAUAAAAC